UACGUAGGGGGCGAGCGUUGUCCGGAAUUAUUGGGCGUAAAGGGCGUGUAGGCGGCCUGUCAAGUCAGGGGUGAAAACCCGGGGCUCAACUCCGGGGUUGCCCUUGAAACUGGGAGGCUUGAGUGCUCUAGAGGGCAGUGGAAUUCCCGGUGUAGCAGUGAAAUGCGUAGAGAUCGGGAGGAACACCAGUGGCGAAGGCGGCUGCCUGGGGAGUAACUGACGCUGAGGCGCGAAAGCUAGGGGAGCAAAC
Molecule: ribosomal RNA, 250 nt
Filed under: uncultured bacterium
Lineage: Bacteria
Description: partial 16S ribosomal RNA
Rfam family: Bacterial small subunit ribosomal RNA
Source: RNAcentral